AUUGAACGCUGGCGGCAGGCUUAACACAUGCAAGUCGAGCGGAUGAGGGGGGCUUGCUCUUGGUUCCAGCGGGGGACGGGGGAGUAUUGCCCGGGAAUCUCCCGGCCAUUGGGGGAUAAGGUCCGGAAACGGCCGCUAAUACUGCAUACGUCUUGAGGGGGAAGGGGGGGGAUCUUCGGACAUCAUGCUCUCAGAUGACACUAGGUGGGAUUAGUUAGUUGGUGGGUUAAAGGCCUACCAAGGCGAGGUUCCGUAACUGGACUGAGAGAAUGAUCAGUCACACUGGAACUGGGACACGGUCCAGACUCCUACGGGAGGCAGCAGUGGGGAAUAUUGGGCAAUGGGCGAAAGCCUGAUCCAGCCAGGCCGCGUGUGUGGAGAAGGUCUUCGGAUUGUAAAGCACGUUAAGUUGGGAGGAAGGGCAGUAAGUUAAUACCUUGCUGUAUUGACGUUACCAACAGAAUAAGCACCGGCUAACUACGUG
Molecule: ribosomal RNA, 484 nt
Filed under: uncultured bacterium
Lineage: Bacteria
Description: partial 16S ribosomal RNA
Rfam family: Bacterial small subunit ribosomal RNA
Source: RNAcentral